Long non-coding RNA from Bos taurus (domestic cattle), 364 nucleotides. The record is from Ensembl. Lineage: Eukaryota; Metazoa; Chordata; Mammalia; Artiodactyla; Bovidae.
GGGACGGCAAGCCGCUCCAGCAUUCUUGCCACAAGAACCCCUUGAACAGUAUGAAAAGGCAAAAAGAUAUGACACCGGAAGAUGAGUCCCCAGGCCUGGAAGAGCUGACUCGUUGGAAAAGACCCUGAUGCUGGGGAAGGUUGAAGGUGUCUCCUGAGCACGUUUGGUUCUGAGCUGGGAAGGCCACAGAGGUGGAGGCCUGGCUCCUGUAUCGGGGUGAAUGGAGAUAGGGAAGUGGAGGCCCAGAGAGGUCAAGGAGCUUGCCCAAGGUCAGCCAGCUCUGGGCCCCUCCAAGCCUUCCCAGCCUCUUCUGUCCAAUGCGUGUUGUGCUCCUGACCUGCUGUUUCUACUCGGUGGGGAUAAG